Molecule: ribosomal RNA, 396 nt
Filed under: uncultured bacterium
Lineage: Bacteria
Description: bacterial SSU rRNA
Rfam family: Bacterial small subunit ribosomal RNA
Source: RNAcentral
AUUGAACGCUGGCGGCAUGCUUUACACAUGCAAGUCGAGCGGCAGCGCGGGACUCAGGCAACUGAGCCCUGGCGGCGAGCGGCGAACGGGUGAGUAAUACAUCGGAACGUACCCAGGAGUGGGGGAUAGCCCGGCGAAAGCCGGAUUAAUACCGCAUACGAUCUUUGGAUGAAAGUGGGGGACCUGCAAGGGCCUCACGCUUUUGGAGCGGCCGAUGUCCGAUAGCUAGUUGGUGGGGUAAAGGCCUACCAAGGCGACGAUCGGUAGCUGGUCUGAGAGGAUGAUCAGCCACACUGGGACUGAGACACGGCCCAGACUCCUACGGGAGGCAGCAGUGGGGAAUUUUGCGCUAAUGCGGGAAACCGUGACGCAGCGACGCCGCGUGAGGGAAGAAGG